AGUGAAGCGGCACAGCUCAAAUUUGAAAUCUGGCUUCGGCCCGAGUUGUAAUUUGUAGAGGAUGCUUUUGGUGAGGUGCCUUCUGAGUUCCCUGGAACGGGACGCCAGAGAGGGUGAGAGCCCCGUAUAGUCGGCCACCGAUCCUUUGUAAAGCUCCUUCGACGAGUCGAGUAGUUUGGGAAUGCUGCUCUAAAUGGGAGGUAUAUCUCUUCUAAAGCUAAAUAUUGGCCAGAGACCGAUAGCGCACAAGUAGAGUGAUCGAAAGAUGAAAAGCACUUUGAAAAGAGGGUUAAAUAGCACGUGAAAUUGUUGAAAGGGAAGCGCUUGUGACCAGACUUGUGCCGGGCUGAUCAUCCAGUGUUCUCACUGGUGCACUCGACCCGGCUCAGGCCAGCGUCGGUUCUCGUAGGGGGAUAAAAGCUUCGGGAACGUGGCACCUUCGGGUGUGUUAUAGCCCGUUGCUUAAUACCCUUGUGGGGACCGAGGUUCGCGCUCUGCAAGGACGCUGGCAUAAUGGUCAUCAGCGACCCGUCUUGAA
Molecule: ribosomal RNA, 538 nt
Filed under: Coniochaeta mutabilis
Lineage: Eukaryota; Fungi; Ascomycota; Sordariomycetes; Coniochaetales; Coniochaetaceae
Description: eukaryotic LSU rRNA
Rfam family: Eukaryotic large subunit ribosomal RNA
Source: RNAcentral